GAGGCGCCCGGCGCGCGCCCCGCAGCCCACCCGCGCCGCGGCCGGAGGAGGGGCGCUGUCCCGGCGCGCAAGGGAGCCGCGCGAGGACCCCAAGUUGCGGGCGCGGCGCGUCCUGGCGGCCCUGCGUCUCCGCCGCCAGGCGAGGCGCCCCCAGGGCUCCCGGAGGCCCGGCGGGGAGCGGCGAGUCAGGUUGCACCCGCACCCCGAGCCCGCGAGGGGGCCCCGGGGGACCUCGCUCCCGGCCUCGCCAGGCUCGGCUGGACCCCGGGCCGGGGACCGCGGACGCCUCGGAGCGGAAGCCCCGGCAGGUGGAGGAGCUGCGGGGGAGCUGUCCUUGCGCGCGGGCUUCGGCUGAGCGGAACUCGAAACUCGGGGGCCCAGCGCCCCGCUCCCGCGCCCGCGCCCGGCUGGCAGGGGCCCGGCUUCUCGGGUCCUGCGAGGUCGCCGCAGGGCGAGUGGCCCGGCUGGCGCUAGCUUCGGCUCCCGGGAGAACUUGCUUGAGGCUGUGCAGCUAGAGAGCGCUCGCUGGCUUCCUCCGGAGUUCGGACGUUCGGUGCUUUAAUCGAGAUUUUCCUCCUGGGGGAGCUGUGGUGACACGAGGGUGUGGCGCCAACCAUGUCUCAGCCAACGGCCAAACUCAGCGGCUUGAGCAUCUUGGAUCCCAACAGGUGGCACUGAUGUCGGGAAUCAUGGAGGUGGCAGCGUGGGGCUGGAGGCCGCUCUGAGCCCGAAGUGCUUUGCUGCCAUGUGGGCAGCUGUGACCUCGGGAGAGGCAGCUGAUUCACCUUGUGGUGGAACCCACACUGACAUCAGCUACAUCGGUGCUUCUGAAAGCAGCCUGCGUCUGAAUCCCUGGAGGGCCCUUAGAACCCAGGGUGCUGGCCCCAGCCCCGUAAUCUCUGACUCAGUACCUCUGGGUCUGGACAGGAGAACAUCAUUGCUAACAAGACUAGAAGUGGCAUCACACUUGGAGAAACACAACUCUCCUCUAGGCCCCAUUGUUAACUUCUAAAACUUUAAGUCUUUCUGAAAAGAAACUUCAGAUUUAAGGGAAGAAUGAAUGGAAGAAAAAGAAAAUGGACCACAUGCUCAUUGACUGAUGAAUGGAUAACAGUUGUUCUGUGUUCAUAUGAUGGAAUAUUACUCAGCCAUUAAAAGUAAUGAAAUCUAUACCUACCAUGUGGAGGAAUCUUAAACACCUAAGGCUAAAUGAAGAAAACCAGUCACAAAAGGCCACACAGUGUGUGAAUCUGGUGUGAUUUGUCCAGAAUAGGCAAAUUCAAAGACAGUAGAUAAAUGGUUGCCAAGCACUGGAGGCAAGGGUGGAGUGCAGAAUGACCGGUUAUUGGGUUUCCCUUUGGAGUGACAAACACAUGCUAGAAUGAGACAUUGAUGAUGGUUGCACCAUAACAGGGACGUCCUUUGUACCACUGAAUUGUGUGCUUCACGUGGCUAACCCAGUCGAUUUUUUUCCAAUAAAAAAAUGGGAAAUGUGAGUGUUAUUUUAACUCAAGUUGCUGGACAGCUGAAAGGUUUACAGGAUGACAGUGGCUCUCAGGGCUCAUUGCAGAAAGGGUUCCCAGAGUGUCUGGCACUGUACGCUUGUCUUAGCUACACCUUGAUCAGUGAAACCAGUCUGCAGGGGAGGCCCAGGCAGUGCAAAGUUUAAAACCCACCGAGUGAUUUGAACGUACAGCCAGGCUUGCAGGCCUAAAACUCAAGGACCAAACGGGCUGAUGGGCUCCGUGCCCACUGACUUGACCCUCCUUGCCGGCAGACCCUCGCAUCAUCUCCCAGGCUGGCUUGGGAGUGGGGAGGAGAGGUCAGGAAGAGCUUGUGGAAUUGGAUGGGCCAGGGUUUGAAAGCCAGCUCCAUUGUUAACUGGCCGUGUGGUCUGGGGCAGACUCCAUGACCCAGCCCCGUCUCUGCAGCUCCUUCCAGGCUGGAAGAGAGACCGCUGCCAUCCUGUGUGAGUCCUCCGGCCGCAGUGUCUUACUGAGUUCCAGUCUGUCCUCCAGCAGACGGUGGGUUGAAAGAUGACCUCAGAACACAAGGGAGGACCCGUUUGGGCAGAAAGUUAGUGAUUGUCCCAUCCAGUGCUUUCUGCACCCAGAGUCAGACUUCUGUGUAUCAAACCUCACAAACGGUGUAAACAGACUCUAAGAUAAAAACGGGCAAAAUUCACCUAGAAGUUGUAGUAACAAGGGAUUCUUCCAUGGAUUGGCUCAGUCCUUAUUCAGAGGUAAUAUGUAUAAUAUAUUUUUAUUCAGCCAUUAUGGCAUAGACAUGAUCUUAUACUCUAUUUUUCAUUCAGUACUUUGUGUUCUGCCCUUGCUGGGUAUCUGUAGUUCAUUCUGGAUGUUUUAAUGGCUGUGUAUUAUUUCAUCCAAUCAUCUUACUGUAAUUUCCUUCCAUAUUCCUCUAUUCUUAAGCCUUUUGAUGGCUUCCAGGCUUUCAGUAUUACAAACUGCAACCGGUGAAAAUGUGUGAGUGUAAUUUCUAACCUCCUUGACUUGUUUCCUUAAAAUAAAAUUCCAUAAGUCACCAGGUUCAGGGCAUGACAUUUUAGGACUCGUAAAUGCGCUGUCAGAUUUGCCCAGUAGAGGACUGUACCGAUUUCCCAGCGACCAGCAGGGUGCGGGGUUCAUUUUCAGUUCUUGCCAGCACCGAGUUCGCCAUCUGAAAUGGGUGUGUAAAUUGUACACACUCUGAGUUCACGUGGGCCAGUAAGUGACGGCUUAACUUUUUGGUUAACUUUUUGGACCUUCCCUUCCCCGAUCCUCUGCUGGUAGUGUCCUUGCUGUUUUGCAAACUGCUAGAGGGCACAUCGUAGGAAAUCAAUAAUCACCUUUCGAAGCAAUGAAUAAAUCAGGCAGUCCCUUCGCCCCAUAAUUCUUCAGUUUUUUCAGAUAGCAAAGGGAUUUUUUUCCCUCUUUGGUUUGUUUUCUAAGUAAACUAAACUUUAUUUCACUGAUGUUGGCAGCCUCCGAGAGCUCUGUGUGUGGUACACAAGGGUGGUGGGGUCUUCCCUUGGGGGAGGGGAUGGCAGCAAACUUGUCGCUCUUCUCCAGCCUCUCCCUGCACUCCCGUCUCGCUUCCUGUCUGCUCCUGAGAGUUGGCUCGACAGGAACGCAGGGAAAGCCAUUUGUAGAGUGCAUGGGAGGAAAAUAAGUGCAAAUAAACCUUUCCUAAGCUGUCUGGCUCUGCUCUCACCCUUUCCAGUGGGAAGAGCUUUGCCAAUGCUCAGGCGAGAGAAUGUGGACUUUGGUACCCAUAGACAGGCAGUUUGUGGGGAUGAAAAGAUGCUGUGGAUUCCACAGUGCUUCAGAUAACUGCAUCUCAUUCAUUUCAGUAGCAUCGACAACAGUUUCCCAAGCAGCAGUGGAAAAUAAUGUGUGAGACCUGCUUAUCGGCUACACCCAUGUGGUUUGCAUGCUCAGCUUCCUUGUGUGUUCUCUUCUCCAUAAGUUUGGGAAACGCUGCUCUGGGAAGGAUUCACUCUCAGAGGGUACCUAGUAGUGCUCCCUCAGGGAGGACUAGGCCAGAGCUUGUCAUCGUAACCAGUACUUUACUAAGGGUGCCGUUCCCAGGAGCUCCUCCUUACUAAUUUUUUAAAGAUGGCUCAUUGUAAGUCUGCUUCCUGCCUGUUCACCUUCUUAUUAGCAACAAACACUUGAUGACAUUUUAAAAGUGUCUCAUUGCCUGAAAUAACAUCUUCUUCCAAUUAAAAGGUAGCAAAGGCUGCCUUUGUCCUCCAUUCCCUUCCCCGGCCGUGACAUCUUGACAUCUGCCUGUGUCUCCUUGACUUAAGACCAAGCUUAUGGAAAAAUAGAAUAGGUCAUAUGCUUCGGCUGGGAACGGAUUGUUUGUGACUUGUGUUCUCAAGCAAAAAAAGGUUCUGGUUGUUUGCAGGAAAUUGGCACAGUCAAGGGUUGCUCUGUCAGAGCACAGUGCGGUCCGAGGGUUCACAUCGCUGCUCACAGGAGGAGUCUCUGUACCCCACAGAGGCGUGGAGGCCCCACCUGCUCGCACCCUUCCCCCUUCCCUGUUUCCAAUGAAGACAGUCUAGCCCUCACUGACACCAGCUUCCUUUUCAGAAUUCAGCUUAGCAUAGACUGUUAAAUCCAAGGAAAAAGAGAGCUCAUAUCCCAGUGACUUCCCCACUGGGCCUCUCAGCGGAGUCCUUUGGGGAUCUUUCCUAAAAUACAUAUUCCCAUCCCCACGCCCAUCCUGAUUCCUUGGGCCUGUGUGUGGCCAUGAAAUCUGCAGUUUGUGAAGCUUUCCUGUGUCAUGAGCAGUCUGGUUUCAGAACCACUAAGCGUCCAGCUCCCAGCUCCUGGGCUCCCCAGGUAGGACUUCCUUGACUGUCCUCUCUGGUAGGUGGUUGUGUCCUCUGCUGGGAUGCCUCCCCCCACGGGGGGCUCACUACUCCCCACAAGAGGCCUAAGAGAAGACAUCCUUCCACAUGGUGAAUUACGAUGUCUCUACCACAGAAGUUUCUGCCUAUUGGUCUCAAUUAUGUCUUAGAGCAACACAGAAGAAAUGUGUCCUUCCCACAGCAACCUUGGCCUGGGCCUGGUGCUUUGGUGACAUCUAUUACAUCAACUCAUGCAGGAACCUCAUGGAGUCAUUACCCCAGAGUUGAGGUGAGAGGACCACAGCCCAGCGCAGGGACCGGCCCUGUUCAGUUCCCACGGCCAACACUGUCAGAUGCCAAAUUCUCUGUCCUUAACUUACGCUGCGCUUCAGUCAUUUGUCCUGCAAGUGGCACUGGCUACCCGCGACCCAGCAGAAGCCUGGUGUCUGAGAGCCCUCCUGCUCCCCAUAACAGUUUCCCCACAACUAGUUUAUAUACCAUUUCUACCUCCAGUGUUUCUGUCUCUAAUAGUCAUAAAAAUUGCCCGUUUCUUUCUGCCACUCUGUCAUCACCCGGCCGCUGUCAUCUCGCUGUGGCUGAUGCAGGGGAAGCUAACAGUUUCAUGGAGCAGGGCUGGGCAGGGGCAGUGGUCACAGGCUCCGUGCUGGACACAGUCACACCUGCAGCAUUACUUUUUCUGGGUAGGGUGGAUUCAGGGUGCUGAGGCAGGCGCCCGUGUUAGAAACGUAGAACACUUUGUCAUCUUGGGUUUUUUAGGACAGUCCCUCACCGCAUCAUUUUUCCAGACUACAGUGUGAUUCUUCACUUCCCUCUGCAAGGUCUUUCUGAUUACUGCGUUAUAAUUCACGGGGCCCUGGAGACCCUGACUCACGUAGGGUGGGUGCCUCCGAGGUUCCCGGCCAUCUCUCCAUCCAUCUGCCUCUGUUGCCUCCCAACCCUGUGCGUUCUGCUUUCCGGGUGUUGGAGACGCUGCUUCUGGGCGGCAAGGAUAGGUAAACGUGUAGUCACUGUUUCGUGCCUCUGUUGUGGAAUGUGCACAUUGCCCAGCUGGGGUCACCUAUACCAGCUUCAUGGCGUCCUGUCCUUACGUGCUCCUCUCUUACAAGCAUUGAAAUGUCCCCACAUGGACAUGGAACUUUGAAGUACUUUCCUUGUGUGCAUUUGGAUUCUGUCUUACUGUAUUGUCAGACUCCCAUUGUCCAGUUUCCUCUAUUUCACAACUCUUCCUUCCUUUUCAUGCAGGGUCUCUCAACCCUGGCUGUGCAUUAGGAUAACUGGGUUGACCAAAAAGUGCUAAAUACGUCAUUAAAAUUAAAAACUAAUUUAAAAAACUAAACCUAGGGAAUGAACCCAGGGCCUCAUGCAGGCUAAGACAAGCUCAGAGUCACACAGCCAGCCAAGCUAAGCAUUUCUGCUCCUUAAAAGUUACCGGUAAGAAAAAGAAGAAAUAAAUCACUCACAGACUUGAGAGAACUAUUUGCCACAAAUAUAUCAAAGAAUUUAUGACCAGCAUAUCCUGGCAAUUCUUAUAACUCAGGAGUAAAACAAAAUACUUCACAAAGGAACAUAGAUAAAUGACCAAUCAACACAUGAAAAAGAGCCCUAGUAAGAUUAAAACCAAAUUGAGAUACCUGCUAAAAUGGCUGAAAUUUAAAAAUGAACAGACCAGUGUUGGUAAGGCUUCCUAUUCCUUUCUAAAGAGAACAUAAAAUGGUGCAACCAGUUUGGAAAUUGGUCUAGCUGUUUCACAUAAAAUAAAACAGUGACCAAAAUAAAACGUAUCAGUGAACAAAAAAUCCUACUUCUAGGUUUUUACCCAAGAGAAAUAAAAAUAGAUAUACACUAACUAACAUGCUUAACAGCUUUGUUACUAACAGCUCCCAACUGGAGACAGUACUGAUGUCCCUUAAAAAGACAAAGGGUACGUAAAUGACAGGAUAAAUCACACAGUACAAUACAGUGCCCUCCAUGGCAGAAAGGAGUGAGCCGUUUGUUCAAACAACAGCUUGAAGGAAUCCUGAGAACGUGAAGCUGAGAUCACACACAAAACAGUGCCCACUGUGUGAGGCAGCAUUCAUAUAAAAUCCUAGAACAGGCAAAUAAAACAUGGAGAAAGACCUCAGCACAGUUACCUCUAGGGUAAGCGCAUCUGGGAGUGAUUAGGACACCCAGGAAAGAACUUUCUGGAAUGAUGGACGCAUCCUGUUUCCUGAGAGUGGCGUGGGUUCCAAAGCAUAAACACUUGCCAAAACUCAUUUUCAAAAGAGGAUCUUAAAUGUUGUAUAUUUACUUGUGUGUUUGAUUCAUAUAAAUUAUAUAACAGCGAGGAAAGCUGAGCUUGAAAGUUUCCGGAUGAUUUCACUGCACACAGAGUGAGGGCCGAGGGGCACUGCGAUGCUGCAUUUGCCUUGCAGCUCAGAGACUUUUCCCACCGUCCUGGCCCCGCGUGCCGGUGGCCUGUGGAGGAGGAGACGGGGGAGCGGAAGCCCUCGGCUGGCUCCUUUCUCUCUGUGCUGGGCUGAUGUUUCCAUACCACAUUUGGGGAAUGCAUCUUUCAGCCACAUCGUCAGAGGAGCAUCCUUUUGCUCCUAGUUACUGAUCUUGAGGUAGUUGAAUGUUUUCUUCUUUCUUUCUUUUUUAUUUUAAAGAGAAUAAAACAAAACAGAACAAAGUACAUCAGAACAAAACAAUGCAAAUAACACAGCACUUCGGAACAAGACAACAGGAAAUCAACAGUGGCUACCAUAAUGUCUUUUGUUUUCUUACAAAUAAGAGAUGUACGUGUGUAGGCUUCUAUAUGCCUAGAACUUCACCUAGUUUACAAGAAUUGAUUUUAUUAUGUAUGAUGGUAUGAAAAGCUACAUUGAAGAAAAUGUGUCCUAAUGGUAGCCACUGCUGAUUUCCUAUCAUCUUGUUUUGAAGUCUAAUAAUGCUUCUAUUUUUGGUUUUGAUUGGUUUUAGUCCGCUUUCAAUUAUUUGAUUUCAGUAUGUAUGAAGGUAUGGAUAGCUAUUUUGAAGAAAACAAGAGACAUUAUGGCAGCCAUUACUGAUCUCCUAUUGUUUGGUUUUGAAAGCACGUAAGGCUCUCAUUCUUUUGUUUUGAUUGCUUUUAAACUAUUUUUUGUAUUAACUUAUUGUGUGUGAAGGUAUGGACAGCUAUUUCACAGAAAAUGUUUUCUUCUUUAAAGUGAAGUUGCUGGACAUAUUUCUUUGGAAUAAAACAUACUUCUAAAAGCUA
This is a long non-coding RNA of Cavia porcellus (domestic guinea pig), 7616 nucleotides long. RefSeq lists it as uncharacterized. Lineage: Eukaryota; Metazoa; Chordata; Mammalia; Rodentia; Caviidae. The record is from RefSeq and is a predicted model, not a curated record. The transcript is spliced from 2 exons.